UGAGAAUUGGCUCAAAUGAUAGAGCUCUUGCUUAGCAUGCAAGAGGUAGCGGGAUCCAUGCCCAUAUUCUCUA
This 73-nucleotide transfer RNA is filed under the name Loxodonta africana (African savanna elephant). It matches the Rfam family "tRNA". From Rfam's summary of the family: Transfer RNA (tRNA) molecules are approximately 80 nucleotides in length. Their secondary structure includes four short double-helical elements and three loops (D, anti-codon, and T loops). The record is from Rfam by way of RNAcentral. Lineage: Eukaryota; Metazoa; Chordata; Mammalia; Proboscidea; Elephantidae.